This 372-nucleotide ribosomal RNA is filed under the name uncultured bacterium. Its description in RNAcentral is "bacterial SSU rRNA". It matches the Rfam family "Bacterial small subunit ribosomal RNA", at positions 28 to 392 of the family's 1533-position model. The record is from RNAcentral.
GACGAACGCUGGCGGCGUGCUUAACACAUGCAAGUCGAGCGGGGUCCAACCGGUAGCAAUACCGGGGAAGACCUAGCGGCGAACGGGUGAGUAACACGUGAGCAACCUGCCCCGAAGUCUGGGAUAACACUGGGAAACCGGUGCUAAUACCGGAUGCCCUCAUCGAGUCACCUGGCUUGAUGAGGAAAGAUUUAUCGCUUCGGGAGGGGCUCGCGACCUAUCAGCUUGUUGGCGGGGUAACGGCCCACCAAGGCUUCGACGGGUAGCUGGUCUGAGAGGACGACCAGCCACACUGGGACUGAGACACGGCCCAGACUCCUACGGGAGGCAGCAGUGGGGAAUCUUGCGCAAUGGGCGAAAGCCUGACGCAGC